UGGAGGAACUUGAGACUUGGG
RNAcentral lists this microRNA (21 nucleotides) under Rosa chinensis. RNAcentral's name for it is "sRNA RchiOBHm_Chr4g0445895". The record is from RNAcentral. Lineage: Eukaryota; Viridiplantae; Streptophyta; Magnoliopsida; Rosales; Rosaceae.